RNAcentral lists this unclassified non-coding RNA (370 nucleotides) under Hevea brasiliensis (rubber tree). Lineage: Eukaryota; Viridiplantae; Streptophyta; Magnoliopsida; Malpighiales; Euphorbiaceae. The record is from RNAcentral.
GAACUUUGGAUUCUGCAGCAAAGGCUGGAUUGAGUCUGCUUUAAAGGGUGCUCUUUCUGGUUUACUCUAGUCAAAUACCUGAGAAAAGUAUAGAAAAAAGUAUUUCAUAUGAAUGAAGGGCCUCUGCAUCUGCCUGGACGCAAGAACUUCACACUAGUUGGGUUAGUAUUCUAUUGCAGUUUGGCAUGCAUCUGAACAGAAGAAGCUUGAUUGUUCCCAAUGUUUGUAAAUUUCAAUCUACUGUAAUUUGCUGUAAAGUUGAAAACACAAGAAAUGAAAGAUGAGCAAUAUGAAGCUGACGUGCAUGUGCACACAAAUGAUGUCCCCAUGAAUGUCGUUUUAAAAGUUGAUAAAUUGCCCACCUAUUACA